This 667-nucleotide long non-coding RNA is filed under the name Pandoravirus dulcis. Its description in RNAcentral is "putative ncRNA". The record is from RNAcentral.
CCCUGGUUGGCAACAACGCACAGGAGCGCCCCACAUGUCGACUCGACACCCUGCGGCGCCCGCGGAUGCGCCACUCGGGUAAAUGCGCGUUGCUGUCUUUUUGUUAACUUUUUUCUUUCGACCGUUGAUAUCGCCCAAUCCGCGCAGGCCUCUGUCCCCGCGGACGGUAGAUUAGGACGACAUCACCAUGGAGGCGCUGCUAACCACGCCACGCCCCUUUUUCGUGCGAUUUCCGGGCGGCACCGUGGCCCGCUAUCCCUUUGCGCGUCACUUUGCACCGGACAGGUCCGGAUGCUCUGAACGCAUUGACCGCUCCGCAAAAGACAAUUAUGACAACGACGACGAGUAAGUGUGUGUGCUUGCAUUAAAUUGUCGGGACCGGAUGGAACGUAAUGCCGUGCGGCCAGUUUAAUGGGGCGGCCGAAAAAGGGUCGACAUUAAAAUCUCCUCUCGUGUUGCAAAAGGACGGCUGGUCCCCAUUUGGAAAUCGCGAUCUUGAUCGCCUUGGCCGGCAUGGCGGGUGCGGCCCUUUGUCGCAGUCAGUGCGCGCCUGAAAGAGAGGGAGACGGCCCAGGGUCGCGCCCGCAUCGAGGCCAUUGGGCAAACUGUGUCUGGCGGGCGACCGACGCCACAAUAAAGAUUUGGAAAAAAAAAGAGAACAAACAGC